UGAGGUGGGGUAGGUACAGAGAGGGGCUUCAGAAGGUGCAAGGUUGAAGGCCGAGAGGAGAGGGAUUGGAGCUGGGACUAUAGGAAGGAGGGGAAGAGGGCUUGAAGGUUUGAUAAGGGCAGACAUUGUUCAGCACGGCCUCAGGCUGACCACAGGUGCCCAGCCCAGAGCCUGGGGAAUAGGUGCCGAGUAUGUGCCCACUGCAUAAGCACAGCAGGGGAGGAAUGGGGCGGGAACUGGUGGCCUAUGGUUGCUGCGAAUAUCUGCUGGAGUCAGCAGCCCCAGCAGCACCACUCCUCCCCAGUAUCAACCCAGUGUUUACUGUCAAGUCUGUGCUGCAGGCUGACAGGGAUGACCUCAUUGAGCACUUACAAUAAUCCUUUGAGGCAGGCCUAUUACGACAUCCACCAGAGAUUCAGAGAGGUUGAGGAACUUAUUCAAGGUCACAGGGUGCUGAUUCUGCCACAGAUGUAGAGGACACGCAAUCAGAAGCUGGAUCUGGAGUCGAGUCUUUCUGGCUAGAGAGUCAAACCAUACAAACAGAUGUUAGCCCUGGGGAAACCGAGGCUUGGAGAAGUACAGAGCUUUGCCCAACACUGGAAGACUGGCAGUGACAGAGCCAGAACUUGAAUACAGUUCUGCCUGUCUGUAGUCACCCUGCCCUGAGGUCCUCACCAAAAGGUCAGACACAGCCAGACUUGAAGUCUGCAGCAGUGAGUCCAGCGGGGGAGUGUGGAGUUGGAGAAGCUCAUUAGCAGAGAAGCUGCCACAGCCGUCAAGAGCCCAGCCUUGGCCAGCCCCGCCGACUCCCAGCUACGGUGUAAACAGCCUUACUAAUUCUCCAGACUCAAUCGCUGUCCCUGAUGGAUUUCCCGUCAUUACUCCUGAGACCACGGGCCACAGCUCUUAGUCCCACCCUGUCACCAUGGCCAUCAUCAUCAUCAUCUCCCUCACCUUGACUGGUGUUGGGUCACUGCCAGCGACACUCUUCCUCAUUCUGCUCCCCCCAGAAAGCACUUCUCCUGAGUAUGCAUGGGGCUUUUGGUGAUGUUAUCUCACCAGGCCGAAGCUGCUGCCUGGUGAGGUGAGCCUGGCUCCAGAAAGGGCCCAUCUGACCUGGAUGUUCCACAGAGACGGACCACAGAAGGAGCAUCAGUUAGGACAGGGAGCUGGAGCAAGCAGAGGGGCUCUUGUGGGCGUAGAGAGGAGAUGAAGGAGGCUUUUGCACGACUCUCCAUUUGUCUCAGAGAAAUGAGUAUAGUCAACCUUGGAUCCUUGGAGGGAUCUGUGCCGGGACUGCUUCACCACUGGUUGCUUAAAUCUAUGGCUGUCCAAUCCUUUGUAUAAAAUGCUGUAGAAUUUGCAUAGAGCUCUAGCAGUCCUGCAGCAUAUUUUAAAUCAUGCCCAGAUGACUUAUAAUGCCUAAUACAAUGUAAAUGCUGUGUAAAGAGUUGCUGCACUGUGUUGUUUAGGGAAUAAUAGCAAGGGAAAUCGUCUCAACAUGUUCAGUAUAGAUGUAAUCUCCCCCACAAAGAUUUUCUAAUCAAAGAUUGUUGAAUCCACAGAUGUGCAACCCAUGGGCAUAGAGGGCUGGCUGUACUCCCUGUUAUUUUUCUCUCUUUCUAUGUAUGUAUAUGUGUGUAUAGCUAUACACACACAAAUGUGUAUACACACAUACACACAUAUUAUAUUGAACGUAAUGAAGAGAUUCUGAGACUUCCAGACCUACUGUGGACUUGGAUUCACUCAUUCAUUCAACAAAUGUUUAUUUGUUUACUUAUUUACUUUGUGAGUUUGUAUGUCUACUUGCAUGUGGAAGACAGAAAUCAACCUUAGAGAUGUCAUUUCUUGGGUGCUACCUACCUGGAGCUUUUGGGGAACACCUUUUUUUGUUGAGACAAGGUUUCACCAUUUAGCUCUGGCUGUCCUGGAACUCGCUUUGUAGACCAGACUGGCCUCUAAC
Long non-coding RNA from Microtus oregoni (creeping vole), 1963 nucleotides. RefSeq lists it as uncharacterized. The transcript has 3 exons. Lineage: Eukaryota; Metazoa; Chordata; Mammalia; Rodentia; Cricetidae. The record is from RefSeq and is a predicted model, not a curated record.